UACGUAGGGGGCAAGCGUUGUCCGGAAUUACUGGGCGUAAGAGCUCGUAGGUGGUUUGUCGCGUUGUUCGUGAAAACUCACAGCUUAACUGUGGGCGUGCGGGCGAUACGGGCAGACUGGAGUACUGCAGGGGAGACUGGAAUUCCUGGUGUAGCGGUGAAAUGCGUAGAUAUCGGGAGGAACACCUGCGGUGUAGACGGCUUACUGGACCGUGACUGACGCUGAGGCACGAAAGCGUGGGUAGCAAACAGG
Molecule: ribosomal RNA, 252 nt
Filed under: uncultured bacterium
Lineage: Bacteria
Description: partial 16S ribosomal RNA
Rfam family: Bacterial small subunit ribosomal RNA
Source: RNAcentral